This is a non-coding RNA of Pelodiscus sinensis (Chinese soft-shelled turtle), 222 nucleotides long. NCBI's taxonomy places the organism in Eukaryota, Metazoa, Chordata, Testudines, Trionychidae. The record is from RefSeq and is a predicted model, not a curated record.
GUAAAUAAAAGGAUUGGUACACUUCCUCUUCUAUGUCCAUCUCUUCAGGAAAGCUUACAACAGAAAUUUUUGUGCUGGGAAGAAAAGGAGAAAGAAAAUAAUGAAUUGGGGGAAGAAAUCUGCUAUUACCAUCAUACCAGACAGUCUACAAAGGCAGCUUUUUGCAGUGAUUCAAGCAAGGGAACAAGGAUUCCUGUAUCCUGUUUCCAGUUCUGUCCAGAG